This 1618-nucleotide ribosomal RNA is filed under the name Escherichia coli. RNAcentral's name for it is "bacterial LSU rRNA". It matches the Rfam family "Bacterial large subunit ribosomal RNA", at positions 1327 to 2925 of the family's 2925-position model. Lineage: Bacteria; Pseudomonadati; Pseudomonadota; Gammaproteobacteria; Enterobacterales; Enterobacteriaceae. The record is from RNAcentral.
AGCCCGCUCGCCGGAAGACCAAGGGUUCCUGUCCAACGUUAAUCGGGGCAGGGUGAGUCGACCCCUAAGGCGAGGCCGAAAGGCGUAGUCGAUGGGAAACAGGUUAAUAUUCCUGUACUUGGUGUUACUGCGAAGGGGGGACGGAGAAGGCUAUGUUGGCCGGGCGACGGUUGUCCCGGUUUAAGCGUGUAGGCUGGUUUUCCAGGCAAAUCCGGAAAAUCAAGGCUGAGGCGUGAUGACGAGGCACUACGGUGCUGAAGCAACAAAUGCCCUGCUUCCAGGAAAAGCCUCUAAGCAUCAGGUAACAUCAAAUCGUACCCCAAACCGACACAGGUGGUCAGGUAGAGAAUACCAAGGCGCUUGAGAGAACUCGGGUGAAGGAACUAGGCAAAAUGGUGCCGUAACUUCGGGAGAAGGCACGCUGAUACGUAGGUGAAGUCCCUUGCGGAUGGAGCUGAAAUCAGUCGAAGAUACCAGCUGGCUGCAACUGUUUAUUAAAAACACAGCACUGUGCAAACACGAAAGUGGACGUAUACGGUGUGACGCCUGCCCGGUGCCGGAAGGUUAAUUGAUGGGGUUAGCGGUAACGCGAAGCUCUUGAUCGAAGCCCCGGUAAACGGCGGCCGUAACUAUAACGGUCCUAAGGUAGCGAAAUUCCUUGUCGGGUAAGUUCCGACCUGCACGAAUGGCGUAAUGAUGGCCAGGCUGUCUCCACCCGAGACUCAGUGAAAUUGAACUCGCUGUGAAGAUGCAGUGUACCCGCGGCAAGACGGAAAGACCCCGUGAACCUUUACUAUAGCUUGACACUGAACAUUGAGCCUUGAUGUGUAGGAUAGGUGGGAGGCUUUGAAGUGUGGACGCCAGUCUGCAUGGAGCCGACCUUGAAAUACCACCCUUUAAUGUUUGAUGUUCUAACGUUGGCCCCUAAUCGGGGUUGCGGACAGUGUCUGGUGGGUAGUUUGACUGGGGCGGUCUCCUCCUAAAGAGUAACGGAGGAGCACGAAGGUUGGCUAAUCCUGGUCGGACAUCAGGAGGUUAGUGCAAUGGCAUAAGCCAGCUUGACUGCGAGCGUGACGGCGCGAGCAGGUGCGAAAGCAGGUCAUAGUGAUCCGGUGGUUCUGAAUGGAAGGGCCAUCGCUCAACGGAUAAAAGGUACUCCGGGGAUAACAGGCUGAUACCGCCCAAGAGUUCAUAUCGACGGCGGUGUUUGGCACCUCGAUGUCGGCUCAUCACAUCCUGGGGCUGAAGUAGGUCCCAAGGGUAUGGCUGUUCGCCAUUUAAAGUGGUACGCGAGCUGGGUUUAGAACGUCGUGAGACAGUUCGGUCCCUAUCUGCCGUGGGCGCUGGAGAACUGAGGGGGGCUGCUCCUAGUACGAGAGGACCGGAGUGGACGCAUCACUGGUGUUCGGGUUGUCAUGCCAAUGGCACUGCCCGGUAGCUAAAUGCGGAAGAGAUAAGUGCUGAAAGCAUCUAAGCACGAAACUUGCCCCGAGAUGAGUUCUCCCUGACUCCUUGAGAGUCCUGAAGGAACGUUGAAGACGACGACGUUGAUAGGCCGGGUGUGUAAGCGCAGCGAUGCGUUGAGCUAACCGGUACUAAUGAACCGUGAGGCUUAACC